AGAAUGAAAAAAAUACAAGUCCCGAAACGAGAGAAAAUAAAUGACUUCAAUUAAUUACUCCUAUCUCAAAGCCUCCUCUGCAUUUCUUCAAUCCACUAAACAAGAUUCGUCUUUAAUUCCAGUUAAUUAGUUUAAUACUAAUAAUAAUACGGAGCAGCAUAGCAGCAUAAAUUGUAGUAUUCAAAAUAUAUGAAUGGCGAUGUAAGAAGUGAAUCGGCGAGGAGUGGAAUAUGUCGGGAAGCGAGUACGGCGACCGCAACGUACUAUUGCGCUCCAAUUCCUCGGCUUCGGAAGACGAUUUAGAAGCUCAGCCAACUCCCCGGAGCGGUAACAAAGGCAUUAAAGAUCUAUUAAAGCGUUUGGAUGGAGGCUUUUCUAAUUGCAGAUUUAUUAGUUUUAAUCGGCGGUCUUUCGACGGUAACCGCCACCACCAGCUACAGCAGAAUUCGGUUCACUCUCAUUCGCAUUCGGAUCCCGGUGUAAGUGGUGAUGCCGGUGAUGAGGAAAUGCUAGGCGAUUUCGCUCCGCCUGAGUGGGCGUUGCUGCUUAUUGGAUGCCUUCUUGGUUUAGCUACUGGUCUUUGUGUUGCCGCCUUUAACCGUGGGGUGCAUGUGAUUCAUGAGUGGGCAUGGGCUGGCACUCCUAAUGAGGGUGCUGCAUGGCUACGUUUACAGAGGCUAGCUGAUACUUGGCAUCGAAUACUAUUGAUACCGGUCUUGGGUGGAGUAAUUGUUGGCAUGCUGCAUGGUUUACUUGACAUAUUGGGUCAAAUACAGCAGUCCACUUCUCAGGGACAGGGAUUUGAUGUUCUUGCUGGAAUAUUCCCGACAGUAAAAGCCCUCCAAGCAGCCAUAACUUUGGGCACUGGGUGUUCUUUAGGUCCUGAAGGCCCCAGCGUAGAUAUUGGAAAAUCAUGUGCUUAUGGUUGCUCAGUAAUGAUGGAGAACAACAAGGAAAGGAGAAUAGCUCUUGUAGCUGCUGGUGCUGCCGCUGGAAUCUCUUCAGGUUUCAAUGCACCAGUUGCAGGCUGUUUCUUUGCUAUUGAAACUGUUUUAAGGCCUCUUCGUGCAGAAAAUUCUCCUCCAUUUACAACUGCAAUGAUAAUCUUGGCGUCUGUUAUCUCAUCCACGGUAUCAAAUGCUGUUCUUGGAGAGAAACAAGCUUUCACAGUGCCCACGUAUGAAUUGAAAUCUGCUGCUGAGCUACCAUUAUACCUUAUAUUGGGAAUGCUUUGUGGAGUAGUAAGUGUGGCUCUCACUUACUUGGUUGCUUGGUUCACUAAAGCAUUUCAGUUCAUGAAAGAUAGAUUUGGAAUCCCUGAUGUCGUUUGCCCUGCUAUUGGAGGUUUGGGAGCUGGGAUUAUAGCUCUUAGAUACCCUGGAAUACUUUAUUGGGGUUUCACUAAUGUUGAUGAAAUUCUGCAUACUGGGAAGACUGCUUCAGCACCUGGUAUUUGGCUUUUAGCACAAUUAUCUGCUGCAAAAGUUGUGGCAACUGCUCUUUGUAAAGGUUCUCACCUUGUUGGUGGCUUGUAUGCGCCAAGCUUAAUGAUCGGUGCAGCUGUGGGUGCUGUUUUUGGAGGUUCUGCUGGGGAGCUAAUCAAUUCAGCUAUGCCAGGAAAUGCUGCUAUUGCCCAGUCACAGGCAUAUGCAUUGGUUGGAAUGGCUGCUACACUAGCUUCAGUUUGUUCAGUGCCUUUGACUUCAAUUCUUCUACUGUUUGAAUUGACAAAAGAUUACCGAAUAUUGCUUCCUCUCAUGGGGGCCGUUGGAUUGGCUAUAUGGGUGCCCUCUGUGACAAAUGAAUCUAAAGACACAGAGCUAUCAGAUUCAAAGUCUUCGGCAAGAAAUUAUUCAGUUAUCUCACCUAAUGAAGACAAAAAUGAGGAAGGAAGUUGGGGGCAAACUGACGAAGGAAAAGAAAUGGAACUUUCUGUUGUUGGAAAUCCCAGUAAUUGUGCUGGAAUGGAUGGUGAAUUUCUUCUGGAGGAUCUGAAGGUAUCUCAGGCUAUGUCAAAUGACUUUCCGAAGGUCCCUCCGAACCAAACUAUUAAAGAAGCUUUGAAAUGUAUGUACGAUGGUCAGCAGAAUUGUGUCCUUAUUGUUGAUGCUGAAAAUUAUUUGGAAGGAAUUUUAACUUACGGUGACAUUAAGCGGUUUCUCUUCAAGAAUUCUGGUGAUGCUUCCAACAGUAAUUCAUCACUUCAAGAUGUAUGUGAAGUGAAUUGGUACUGUGAAACAAUUAUUUGGUGAAUACAUGUUCAGUUUCUUCUAUAUGCACCCGAGGAAUAAGCUACCGUGGAAGGCAUUGUGGACUUCUAACCUGUUAUCCAGAUACUGACCUGUCAAUAGCAAAGCAGCUAAUGGAGGCCAAGGGAAUUAAGCAACUGCCUGUGGUCAAACGUGGAUCAGACUUCCAGAAAGAAAGAAAGCGGAGAGUUCUUGCUGUUCUUUUGUACGAUUCAAUCCAAAAUGCUCUCAGAGAUGAGAUAGAUCGGCGGAGAUCAGUUGGUCAGCAGAGACUAGAAAACAAUCAGUGAUUGGAAAUGGCCAACUAUUGAUGACAUGGUCCUGAUGGCUGUUAGAGCUUGUUCCGCCAAAUGCCCAGGUGCAACUCAAGAUACAGGAGCCUAUUUUCUUUUUGAGUUUUGGCUUCAGACGGCUUCAUCUCGGGACAAUUGAGUCUGGUUGUCCUUUAAUGGAUGUGUCCAGAAAUGUAAUUGUAUUACGAAUUAAAAGCAUAAAAUACAAGUUGAUCGUCACUGUUUGGAAGACAGGAAGGCAUAUAAAAAGAUUCUGAUGCAAAUUAUACUGCUACAUCGUUUUUCCGAAAAAGGAAAUGGAGUUGGGCUGCUUCAUUUUC
This is a non-coding RNA of Coffea arabica (coffee), 2862 nucleotides long. The record is from RefSeq and is a predicted model, not a curated record. Lineage: Eukaryota; Viridiplantae; Streptophyta; Magnoliopsida; Gentianales; Rubiaceae.